GGGUGAGUAACGCGUGGGAAUAUGCCCUUUGGUACGGAAUAGCCUCGGGAAACUGAGAGUAAUACCGUAUGUGUCCUCUGAUCGUGGUGGUUGGAGGAGAAAGAUUUAUCGCCAAAGGAUUAGCCCGCGUUGGAUUAGAUAGUUGGUGGGGUAAUGGCCUACCAAGUCUACGAUCCAUAGCUGGUUUGAGAGGAUGAUCAGCCACACUGGGACUGAGACACGGCCCAGACUCCUACGGGAGGCAGCAGUGGGGAAUCUUAGACAAUGGGGGCAACCCUGAUCUAGCCAUGCCGCGUGAUCGAUGAAGGCCUUAGGGUUGUAAAGAUCUUUCAGUUGGGAAGAUAAUGACGGUACCAACAGAAGAAGCCCCGGCUAACUCCGUGCCAGCAGCCGCGGUAAUACGGAGGGGGCUAGCGUUAUUCGGAAUUACUGGGCGUAAAGCGCACGUAGGCGGACUGGAAAGUUAGAGGUGAAAUCCCAGGGCUCAACCUUGGAACUGCCUUUAAAACUAUCAGUCUAGAGAUCGAGAGAGGUGAGUGGAAUUCCGAGUGUAGAGGUGAAAUUCGUAGAUAUUCGGAGGAACACCAGUGGCGAAGGCGGCUCACUGGCUCGAUACUGACGCUGAGGUGCGAAAGCGUGGGGAGCAAAC
RNAcentral lists this ribosomal RNA (649 nucleotides) under Albirhodobacter confluentis. RNAcentral describes it as "bacterial SSU rRNA". It matches the Rfam family "Bacterial small subunit ribosomal RNA", at positions 104 to 773 of the family's 1533-position model. The record is from RNAcentral. Lineage: Bacteria; Pseudomonadati; Pseudomonadota; Alphaproteobacteria; Rhodobacterales; Paracoccaceae.